GACGAACGCUGGCGGCGUGCUUAACACAUGCAAGUCGAACGGAAAGGCCCUGCUUUUGUGGGGUGCUCGAGUGGCGAACGGGUGAGUAACACGUGAGUAACCUGCCCUUGACUUUGGGAUAACUUUAGGAAACUGGGGCUAAUACCGGAUAGGAGCUCCUGCUGCAUGGUGGGGGUUGGAAAGUUUCGGCGGUUGGGGAUGGACUCGCGGCUUAUCAGCUUGUUGGUGGGGUAGUGGCUUACCAAGGCUUUGACGGGUAGCCGGCCUGAGAGGGUGACCGGCCACAUUGGGACUGAGAUACGGCGCAGACUCCUACGGGAGGCAGCAGGGGGGAAUAUUGCACAAUGGGCGGAAGCCUGAUGCAGCAACGCCGCGUGCGGGAUGACGGCCUUCGGGUUGUAAACCGCUUUCGCCUGUGACGAAGCGUGAGUGACGGUAAUGGGUAAAGAAGCACCGGCUAACUACGUG
RNAcentral lists this ribosomal RNA (468 nucleotides) under uncultured bacterium. RNAcentral describes it as "partial 16S ribosomal RNA". It matches the Rfam family "Bacterial small subunit ribosomal RNA", at positions 28 to 507 of the family's 1533-position model. The record is from RNAcentral.